CCGGCACGGGUGGAGUAACACGUAUGCAAUCCACCUGUAACAGGGGAGUAACCCGGAGAAAUCCGGACUAAUACCCAUAAUAUGGGCGCUCCGCAUGGAGAGCCCAUUAAAGAGAGCAAUUUUGGUUACAGACGAGCAUGCGCUCCAUUAGCCAGUUGGCGGGGUAACGGCCCACCAAAGCGACGAUGGAUAGGGGUUCUGAGAGGAAGGUCCCCCACAUUGGAACUGAGACACGGUCCAA
Molecule: ribosomal RNA, 241 nt
Filed under: uncultured bacterium
Lineage: Bacteria
Description: partial 16S ribosomal RNA
Rfam family: Bacterial small subunit ribosomal RNA
Source: RNAcentral